GACGAACGCUGGCGGCGUGCUUAACACAUGCAAGUCGAGCGACGCUCUUCCUUCGGGGAGAUGACGGAGCGGCGAACGGGUGAGUAACACGUGGGCAACCUGCCCCUAGCUCUGGGACAACACCGGGAAACCGGUGCUAAUACCGGAUACGACAUCGAGCGGCAUCUCUCGAUGUGGAAAGUUUUUUCGGCUAGGGAUGGGCCCGCGGCCUAUCAGCUUGUGGGUGGGGUAAUGGCCCACCAAGGCGACGACGGGUAGCCGGCCUGAGAGGGCGACCGGCCACACUGGGACUGAGACACGGCCCAGACUCCUACGGGAGGCAGCAGUGGGGAAUAUUGCGCAAUGGGCGAAAGCCUGACGCAGCGACGCCGCGUGAGGGAUGACGGCCUUCGGGUUGUAAACCUCUUUCAGCAGGGACGAAUUCAGACGGUACCUGCAGAAGAAGCACCGGCCAACUACGUG
This 462-nucleotide ribosomal RNA is filed under the name uncultured bacterium. RNAcentral describes it as "partial 16S ribosomal RNA". It matches the Rfam family "Bacterial small subunit ribosomal RNA", at positions 28 to 507 of the family's 1533-position model. The record is from RNAcentral.